RNAcentral lists this long non-coding RNA (597 nucleotides) under Canis lupus familiaris (dog). RNAcentral's name for it is "lncRNA (ENSCAFG00000058832.1)". Lineage: Eukaryota; Metazoa; Chordata; Mammalia; Carnivora; Canidae. The record is from RNAcentral.
AGAUAGGAAAUGGUCCAAUGUGUUAUACAGAUUUGGCUUUUGACUAGUUUCUAAUGUGAAGGACAUUUCCUGACUUCCUCCACGCUGACUUCCUUCAUUCCCCUGUCUCCUCCCCUACAGCUUUACAACUCCGGUAGACCUCACAGAAUCAGGGAACUGGGAAGGAUGGUGCUCAUAAUUAUCAGAUGUAACUGUGUCCAUAAAGCAGGAGUCUUGCUGCUGGUGGAGGAUUUGGAUUCAUCUGGUCAGGACUCCUGUAUGUGGGGGCUUUAGCUGCUGACCUGUUGCCUGAUAGUUUUUCUUCACCAUGGUUUUAGUUCUGACGCAGAAAGAGCUUGGAAGUCAUCAUUCCCAUCCUUACAAGAAGAAAAAGCUGAACGAACUGAAGAUCAAUGACUUUUCUUGAUUCAUCAGAGAACUGGGCUUGUGGGGCAAACUGCCACCCUGAGAUGUGGAGAGUGGUGGAUUCAGACAGUCACAGCUGAGAUUGGCUUAACUGGAACAGAAGCCACUAGAGCCAUGAACAGGUAGGUAGAAGCACUUGGAUGAUAAUUUUGAUGAAUUGCUGGAGGGUGAGUGUGGACUAGCAUGACACUG